This 441-nucleotide ribosomal RNA is filed under the name Pristimantis taeniatus (banded robber frog). Its description in RNAcentral is "partial 16S ribosomal RNA". It matches the Rfam family "Bacterial large subunit ribosomal RNA", at positions 1917 to 2568 of the family's 2925-position model. Lineage: Eukaryota; Metazoa; Chordata; Amphibia; Anura; Strabomantidae. The record is from RNAcentral.
GUGACGUUCAACGGCCGCGGUAUUCUAACCGUGCAAAGGUAGCGUAAUCACUUGUUUUCUAAAUAAAGACUAGUAUGAAAGGCACCACGAGGAAUAAGCUGUCUCCUUUUUCUAAUCAGUGAAUCUAAUCUCCCCGUGAAGAAGCGGGGAUUAAAAUAUAAGACGAGAAGACCCUGUGGAGCUUAAGACUCUAUAACAUCUAUAUUCUAAUUGUACGUCUUUGGUUGGGGUGACCGCGGAGAAAAACUAACCCUCCCCAGUGAAAAACAGUAAGCUACAGCUUUAUGUAUCAAAAAAUUGACUUGUUGACCCAAUAAGUUGAUCAAUGAACCAAGUUACCCCAGGGAUAACAGCACAAUCCGCUUUGAGAGCUCAUAUCGACAAGCGGGCUUAUGACCUCGAUGUUGGAUCGGGAUAUCCUAGUGGUGUAGCCGCUACUAA